ACGGCAGCGCGGGGCAACCUGGCGGCGAGUGGCGAACGGGUGAGUAAUAUAUCGGAACGUACCCAGAAGUGGGGGAUAACGUAGCGAAAGUUACGCUAAUACCGCAUACGAUCUACGGAUGAAAGUGGGGGACCUUCGGGCCUCAUGCUUUUGGAGCGGCCGAUAUCUGAUUAGCUAGUUGGUGAGGUAAAGGCUCACCAAGGCGACGAUCAGUAGCUGGUCUGAGAGGACGACCAGCCACACUGGAACUGAGACACGGUCCAGACUCCUACGGGAGGCAGCAGUGGGGAAUUUUGGACAAUGGGCGCAAGCCUGAUCCAGCAAUGCCGCGUGAGUGAAGAAGGCCUUCGGGUUGUAAAGCUCUUUUGUCAGGGAAGAAACGGUUGGGGCUAAUAUCCCCGGCUAAUGACGGUACCUGAAGAAUAAGCACCGGCUAACUACGUGCCAGCAGCCGCGGUAAUACGUAGGGUGCAAGCGUUAAUCGGAAUUACUGGGCGUAAAGCGUGCGCAGGCGGUUUUGUAAGUCUGUCGUGAAAGCCCCGGGCUCAACCUGGGAAUUGCGAUGGAGACUGCAAGGCUUGAAUCUGGCAGAGGGGGGUAGAAUUCCACGUGUAGCAGUGAAAUGCGUAGAGAUGUGGAGGAACACCGAUGGCGAAGGCAGCCCCCUGGGUCAAGAUUGACGCUCAUGCACGAAAGCGUGGGGAGCAAACAGGAUUAGAUACCCUGGUAGUCCACGCCCUAAACGAUGUCUACUAGUUGUCGGGUUUUAAUUAACUUGGUAACGCAGCUAACGCGUGAAGUAGACCGC
RNAcentral lists this ribosomal RNA (808 nucleotides) under uncultured bacterium. RNAcentral describes it as "bacterial SSU rRNA". It matches the Rfam family "Bacterial small subunit ribosomal RNA", at positions 66 to 872 of the family's 1533-position model. The record is from RNAcentral.